AUCUCACCGGUGGGGUACUCUCAGUAACCUCACAACUACCAUCAUGCAUUUCAUACUCAAUCCACCAAUUCAUACCAAGACUGAAAUCAGCAUGCACAAUCUUUCACCAUCAAACAAUGCAAGUAGACUCGACUCAAACACAGAUUAAACAGACGCCAAAACAAGAAAAGCAAAAAGAUAAAAUAAAACCUAAUCUACGAGUUCAGGGGAAAGGUACUUAGUCGUUUCGGUCGGAGGAUCUUGCCUCCGCAGUCAGCAUCUCCUUGAUUUCUUUAAAACCAGCCUCCACUACUUUGAAUCCUUCUUCCACAGUAUCCCUCAACGUGGCCACUUCUCCUCCCA
RNAcentral lists this long non-coding RNA (342 nucleotides) under Salvia miltiorrhiza (redroot sage). Its description in RNAcentral is "long non-coding RNA (SMIL_LNC009650)". The record is from RNAcentral. Lineage: Eukaryota; Viridiplantae; Streptophyta; Magnoliopsida; Lamiales; Lamiaceae.